Lagopus muta (rock ptarmigan) is the source of this 3629-nucleotide long non-coding RNA. RefSeq lists it as uncharacterized. Lineage: Eukaryota; Metazoa; Chordata; Aves; Galliformes; Phasianidae. The transcript is spliced from 8 exons. The record is from RefSeq and is a predicted model, not a curated record.
CAGGAAAUGGCGUCGUAGGGGUGCAGCUUUGGGACCAGGAACUCCAAUUGGAAAGAUGUAGGUCAGCCAGGACAAGUGCCAAAUACAGGAAGAAAGGGAGUCAUUUUGUCAGAAAUUGUGCCAAGAUUUUCAUAAAGUAAAUUAAAUCCUGGAGAUGUUCCAGAAGACAAUCAAAGUUUGGCUAUGUGACCAUCAGCAACAAUAGUGGUGAAUAUAAAGUGAGGAAAGGCCUUCAAGAUUUGAAGUUUUUCCAAGUGGGAUGAUGACAUGAAAGGAAAACUGCAUGAAACAUUAGUAAACAGAUGGCAUCAUUUCAUCUCAUGCUCUGAAAGUGACAAGUUACACUGUGGCACUGACUUUAUUGUAUUAGCCUGUGCUGGCUGUGCUGAAUUUAUAAACCAUGGAGCAACUUUCUUUGGCUCUAUCUCGCACAACAGAAGGUGAAGUAAGAAAACACUGGGAAACUAAUUGACUUUUCAAGAGAAUCAUCUUUUGGGGUUGAUUUGGAAGGUUGAAGGAGGAGCCAAGAUAACAAAAAUCUAUUUCAAGUAAAUAAGUGUAUGUUCUUGCCUGGUGAUUCCUGUAGUGGCUUUUCCUGUACAUAUGAAUGAAAGACCUGGAGUAUAUUUUUUCUACCUAAAAACUUUGACAGCUAUUUUCAAGGAAAUAAGACAAUUUUUUAAGCUUUCAACACUCUAUGCUGUUGAUAUCUCAAUGUUCUUCUAAAGAGGCUUUUUGUUGUACAGUAGAAGAAGAGGCCUAUUCCAUAAAAGCAAAUGCAGUUGUCUGCCAGGUCAACGCUGGACCAGCCAGAAUCUGUGAUAAUAAGAACAAUAUGAAACAGAAUUUGAAUUAAUGUUACCUUGCCUUUCAGUAGGUUUAUUGACUUGAAUGUUGUAUUAUGUCUUAAUCAAUGUGUACGUAUUAGGUCUUAAUCAAUGUGGAUUCUAGUUGAUUUGUAGUGGAAAGUGCUACAAAAGCAGAAAAGCUACAAAGUGCUUUUCAGACAUAUUCAUAGGCUUGCCAAUAGCAGAGCCACAGGCAAAUAAUGUUCUGAUUGAAUGAAAAUAGGAGGAGAUAGAGUUUCAAACUUCUAGAAAAAGCAGACCCGAGAAACAAUUGGUCCAACACUCUGAGAAGAUAAGCAAUUUCAAUUUAUAUGUGUUAUUAAGGUAUUCAAUUGAUAUACGUUAUAUCAUUUAAUACAUGCUAUUAAAAUGCUUUUAAAUGGGUAGAUGAGUUCACCAAUGAAAAUUCUGGAACAGAGCAGUCCAUUGUUUCUAAGUUAACUUGAUAGUCAGGUUAGAAUUUGUGGGGACUAGAGGGCAGUCUUUUAAAACUGUAUUUGUUCAGUAAUCAUUAAAUUAAUUUUACCUAGAUGUUAUAAACAGUGGUUCAGUGCUAUCACUAUCACCAGGCAAAGAACUGAUUAUGCCAGGUGCAUCAACUCACCACAGUAAUCAAAUUGAAACUUGUCCACAAAGCAGGGUUAUAUCUAAAGCUCUUUGAAACAGGAGUUCAUGGUGUGCAUCUAGUUAAAUCUACCUAUAUAACCUUGUACAGAUUCCACCAUUUAUGAGAAAAGAGGUGCGUCACAUGGAUGUUGGCUUCCCAGCUGACUUCUAAAGUAAGAAAACAGCAGUGAUUCAUGAACUUGGCAGGGAUUCUUUCAAGUAUGAGAUUACUAAAAAAUAUGUACUACUUUAGAUACUGUAUUUCAUACUAAUAUUUCAAGCAUUUAGAGCUUUGUUGUUACAAAUACGUUGCAGGAGAAAUUAAGUUUAUUAAUGUAGAAAAUGUCCAUGUAGAAAACAAGCUCUUUAUGGCCCUCUUUCUUAACAUAUGUGUUCAAAGUUCUCAUUUCACUGUUUAAUUGCUUUGAACAAUAUGUAAAAAAUAGUAUUUUAUGUGGCUUAGUCAACUGAUUUAUGAGUAAGCAUUCUUUCAACUGUAGGUAUUAAAAAGUACUCAGAUGAAAGAGGUAAGAUGUGCAAGCCCAACCUUUCUGUCUUUGAGGGCAGAGACCAAACCUAAAUGUAAUAGAAGACAUUGAUAAAAUGUUUGUUCAGUGACACAUGAUGGCUUUAUAGCAGUCAUAGCAAUAAAUCCAGUGGGACAGUAUUCAAAAUAUAUUUUAUCAAGUUCUUCAUAGUUAGAUAUAAUCCUGAAAUAAAACCAAUCUAUAUUUGUAAAUAUGGAUUAGAAGCAUGAAAGUGCUGCUUAUUGUCAACAUUUAGACUGGGUAGUUUCUACACUGGCAGAUCUAGUUGGAACUUUGUGAUGAACCUAUUCCAGUUAUUUCCUUACAGUAAGUUCUUCAAAGAUAAAAAGGCUUUUAAGUCAGGAAAAUCCGGGACAUGCAUUGAAUAUCCAUUGAAAUGCCUAAGUCUUUAAAUGUAUGUAAGAUAAAGCACAACUGGAAGACAUACAUCUGUGUUCCCUCUGCCUCUUCUGCAUCCUUUAGGGGCAGGUUCUUUCUCCCAAUCAUAGCUUCACUUGCAUCUUCUGUAUUCCCAAGAAGGGGCAGGUACAGUCUCCUUUUGAGCUCCUUUUGUAGUUGUCUUUUUCUCAGCACUGCCCUGUGUCAUGCUUCCUCUCUAUAUCACAUAGUUCUGAGCGUUCUUACUGUUUCCCAAGUCUUUCCUCUUUUCAUGGUGCAUAGUGCAGGCAUUCAGAACAAGUCAAUAUGUAACGGAUGAUGACAGUGAAAUUUUGAAGCUGCAUUUUAAAUUUCAGAAAUGAACUUGAAACUGGACAUGUUAGACAAAUAGAAAAAUGAGAUAGAUCAGUUUCUCCUCUGUGGAAACAGAUACUGUCUACAGGGAGACCUUGGUCUCACUUCUUAGUAGAUCUGAAACAGAAGGGAGACAAGACAAAUUGGUUAGGGAGUGCUUUAGCAGAAUUCUGAAAUAAAAAUAAUGCACUGGGUGGGAGUACUUUUUGCAUUGCAAAUAGUUUGAAACAGUCUUAGUUUUUUGGCCAACUUUAUACAUAAUUGUGAAUCUAAGAUGUUCUUGGCAUGUUUCAGCUUCUGUCUUGUUAGAAGAUGUUAGCUCCCUCCAAGCUGUUUUAUUUUAGUCUGGUUGCUGUGACAGCCACAAGGCAAAAUUCAGCUGUUCUGGGAAGAGGGUCAGGUGCUGGCCUGCUGCUAUGAAAGUGGAAAGGGUGUGGGGAAAUGGUCAAGUAGAAUAGAGAACUGCAGGGGAAAAAUAGAGAGGGGAAAAUAGAACAACAUAAAAGCUACAGAAUUAAACUUGUGUUAUGAACAGAAUGAGUGCUGAUUUUUGCUUGUGGAAGAGUCUCAUUGCUUCCAGCAGAAUUGAGCUAUGGUACCCUGACCUAUCCCUAUUAACAGCAGCAGCAGCACCAACCUGAUGCUGUGAUUGAGAAAAGGAGCCCUUUGCUCUUCUGUUACACAGCAGCAGUCUAUGCCCUAGGUGCUUAAUUUCAGUGCUUUCAACAGAGGUGUGUAUAGCAUAGUGUAGAAAGUACAGAGGCUUCAUCUUGGCCUACCAAAGGGUUUGGUUCUGAUUUAUCCUGUGGGCAUAUACUUUUAACUGCACAUCACCAGUCGUGUUAAAAACUUAAUGUCCAUUACCAUUAAGAUGUUAGAAGACAAUUGAUAAACC